This 869-nucleotide ribosomal RNA is filed under the name uncultured Mycoplasma sp. RNAcentral's name for it is "bacterial SSU rRNA". It matches the Rfam family "Bacterial small subunit ribosomal RNA", at positions 382 to 1294 of the family's 1533-position model. The record is from RNAcentral. Lineage: Bacteria; Bacillati; Mycoplasmatota; Mollicutes; Mycoplasmatales; Mycoplasmataceae.
UCUGAUGGAGCAAUGCCAUGUGAACGAUGAAGGCCUAUUUGGUCGUAAAGUUCUUUUAGAGGGGAAGACUUUGACGGUACCCUCUGAAUAAGUGACAGCAAACUAUGUGCCAGCAGCUGCGGUAAUACAUAGGUCGCGAGCGUUAUUCGGUUUUAUUGGGCGUAAAGCAAGCGCAGGCGGAUGAACAAGUUCUGUGUUAAAAGCAGCUGCUCAACAGUUGUUUGCACCGAAUACUGUUCGUCUAGAAUGUGGUAGGAAGUUUUGGAAUUAAAUAUGGAGCGGUGGAAUGUGUAGAUAUAUUUAAGAACACCAGAGGCGAAGGCGAAAACUUAGGCCAUCAUUGACGCUUAGGCUUGAAAGUGUGGGUAGCAAAUGGGAUUAGAUACCCCAGUAGUCCACACCGUAAACGAUGGGUAUUGGAUGUCGGGCUUUGUGGCUCGGUGUUGUAGCUUACGUGUUAAAUACCCCGCCUGGGUAGUAUAUAUGCAAAUAUGAAACUCAAAGGAAUUGACGGGGACCUGAACAAGUGGUGGAACAUGUUGCUUAAUUCGAUAAUACACGAAAAACCUUACCAGGGUUUGACAUCCCUUGCGAAACCGUGGAAACACGGCGGAGGUUAUCAAGGUGACAGGUGGUGCAUGGUUGUCGUCAGCUCGUGUCAUGAGAUGUUUGGUUAAGUCCCGCAACGAGCGCAACCCUACCCCUUAGUUGUUUGUCUAAGGAGACUGCACAGUAAUGUAGAGGAAGGAUGGGAUCACGUCAAAUCAUCAUGCCCCUUAUGCCCUGGGCUGCAAACGUGUUACAAUGGUAGAUACAAUAUGUCUGCAAACCAGCGAUGGUAAGCUAAUCAUCAAAAUCUAUCUCAGUCC